UGCGUAGGUGGUUUCUUAAGUCAGAGGUGAAAGGCUACGGCUCAACUGUAGUAAGCCUUUGAAACUGGGAAACUUGAGUGCAGGAGAGGAGAGUGGAAUUCCUAGUGUAGCGGUGAAAUGCGUAGAUAUUAGGAGGAACACCAGUUGCGAAGGCGGCUCUCUGGACUGUAACUGACACUGAGGCACGAAAGCGUGGGGAGCAAACA
Molecule: ribosomal RNA, 206 nt
Filed under: uncultured Romboutsia sp.
Lineage: Bacteria; Bacillati; Bacillota; Clostridia; Peptostreptococcales; Peptostreptococcaceae
Description: partial 16S ribosomal RNA
Rfam family: Bacterial small subunit ribosomal RNA
Source: RNAcentral